GAUGAACGCUAGCGGCAGGCCUAACACAUGCAAGUCGAGGGGUAACAUAGAAAAGCUUGCGUUUUCUGAUGACGACCGGCGCACGGGUGCGUAACGCGUAUACAACCUACCUUUUAGCGGGGAAUAGCCCAGGGAAACUUGGAUUAAUGCCCCAUAGUAUAUAGACUUCUCCUGAAGUUUAUAUUAAACAUUUAUGGCUAUUAGAUGGGUAUGCGUCCUAUUAGUUAGUUGGUAAGGUAACGGCUUACCAAGGCAGCGAUAGGUAGGGGUCCUGAGAGGGAGAUCCCCACACUGGUACUGAGACACGGACCAGACUCCUACGGGAGGCAGCAGUGAGGAAUAUUGGACAAUGGGCGAGAGCCUGAUCCAGCCAUGCCGCGUGCAGGAAGACUGCCCUAUGGGUUGUAAACUGCUUUUACAGAGGAAGAACCACCCCCACGUGUGGGGGUUUGACGGUACUCUGUGAAUAAGGAUCGGCUAACUCCGUG
Molecule: ribosomal RNA, 488 nt
Filed under: uncultured bacterium
Lineage: Bacteria
Description: bacterial SSU rRNA
Rfam family: Bacterial small subunit ribosomal RNA
Source: RNAcentral